GUAGGUGGCAAGCGUUGUCCGGAAUUAUUGGGCGUAAAGCGCGCGCAGGCGGUUCUUUAAGUCUGAUGUGAAAGCCCACGGCUCAACCGUGGAGGGUCAUUGGAAACUGGAGAACUUGAGUACAGAAGAGGAAAGCGGAAUUCCACGUGUAGCGGUGAAAUGCGUAGAGAUGUGGAGGAACACCAGUGGCGAAGGCGGCUUUCUGGUCUGUAACUGACGCUGAGGCGCGAAAGCGUGGGGAGCAAACAGGGAUUAGAUACCCUGGUAGCCCACGCCGUAAACGAUGAGUGCUAAGUGUUAGGGGGGGUUUUCCGGCCCCCCUUAGUGCUGCAGCUAACGCAUUAAGCACUCCGCCUGGGGAGUACGGCCGCAAGGCUG
Molecule: ribosomal RNA, 378 nt
Filed under: uncultured organism
Description: partial 16S ribosomal RNA
Rfam family: Bacterial small subunit ribosomal RNA
Source: RNAcentral